UACGUAGGGUGCAAGCGUUAAUCGGAAUUACUGGGCGUAAAGCGUGCGCAGGCGGUUUUGUAAGUCUGACGUGAAAGCCCCGGGCUUAACCUGGGAAUUGCGUUGGAGACUGCAAGGCUUGAAUCUGGCAGAGGGGGGUAGAAUUCCACGUGUAGCGGUGAAAUGCGUAGAGAUGUGGAGGAACACCGAUGGCGAAGGCAGCCCCCUGGGUCAAGAUUGACGCUCAUGCACGAAAGCGUGGGGAGCAAACAGG
This 253-nucleotide ribosomal RNA is filed under the name uncultured bacterium. RNAcentral describes it as "partial 16S ribosomal RNA". It matches the Rfam family "Bacterial small subunit ribosomal RNA", at positions 524 to 776 of the family's 1533-position model. The record is from RNAcentral.